This 511-nucleotide ribosomal RNA is filed under the name uncultured bacterium. Its description in RNAcentral is "partial 16S ribosomal RNA". The record is from RNAcentral.
GGAGUUAGCCGGUGCUUCUUCUGCGAGUAACGUCACAGAUGUAAGGUAUUAACUUACACCCUUUCCUCCUCGCUGAAAGUGCUUUACAACCCGAAGGCCUUCUUCACACACGCGGCAUGGCUGCAUCAGGGUUUCCCCCAUUGUGCAAUAUUCCCCACUGCUGCCUCCCGUAGGAGUCUGGGCCGUGUCUCAGUCCCAGUGUGGCUGAUCAUCCUCUCAGACCAGCUAGGGAUCGUCGCCUAGGUGAGCCUUUACCUCACCUACUAGCUAAUCCCACCUGGGCUUAUCCAUCAGCGCAAGGCCCGAAGGUCCCCUGCUUUCCCCCGUAGGGCGUAUGCGGUAUUAGCAGUCGUUUCCAACUGUUAUCCCCCACAAAUGGGCAAAUUCCCAGGCAUUACUCACCCGUCCGCCGCUCGUCAUCUUCAAAAGCAAGCUUUUGAAAUGUUACCGCUCGACUUGCAUGUGUUAGGCCUGCCGCCAGCGUUCAAUCUGAGCCANAGNACCAAGCUGA